RNAcentral lists this ribosomal RNA (544 nucleotides) under Candidozyma auris. RNAcentral's name for it is "eukaryotic LSU rRNA". It matches the Rfam family "Eukaryotic large subunit ribosomal RNA", at positions 47 to 657 of the family's 3401-position model. The record is from RNAcentral. Lineage: Eukaryota; Fungi; Ascomycota; Pichiomycetes; Serinales; Metschnikowiaceae.
UAAGCGGAGGAAAAGAAACCAACAGGGAUUGCCUCAGUAACGGCGAGUGAAGCGGCAAGAGCUCAACUUUGGAAUCGCUCCGGCGAGUUGUAGUCUGGAGGUGGCCACCACGAGGUGUUCUAGCAGCAGGCAAGUCCUUUGGAACAAGGCGCCAGCGAGGGUGACAGCCCCGUACCUGCUUUUGCUAGUGCUUCCUGUGGCCCACCGACGAGUCGAGUUGUUUGGGAAUGCAGCUCUAAGUGGGUGGUAAAUUCCAUCUAAGGCUAAAUAUUGGCGAGAGACCGAUAGCGAACAAGUACAGUGAUGGAAAGAUGAAAAGCACUUUGAAAAGAGAGUGAAACAGUACGUGAAAUUGUUGAAAGGGAAGGGCUUGCACCCAGACACGGUUUCGGCCGGGCCAGCAUCAAGUAGAACGGGGUUAAAAGACCUGGGGAAUGUAGCUACCUCUUGGUAGUGUUAUAGCCCUUGGGUGAUGACCCCUGUUUUGCUUGAGGACAGCGGUCUCUAGGAUGCUGGCGCAAUGGUUGCAAGCCACCCGUCUUGA